Molecule: long non-coding RNA, 2222 nt
Organism: Alligator sinensis (Chinese alligator)
Lineage: Eukaryota; Metazoa; Chordata; Crocodylia; Alligatoridae
Exons: 4
Source: RefSeq, a predicted model, not a curated record
CCCCGCCGGGCGGGCACAGGAGACCCAGCGCGUGCGCAGCGCAGCCCCACCCCUCCUUGCCUCGCUGCCGGGGCCGGCGCCCAGACCAAACCUUACGGGGCCGCAGCGGCUCACCGGAAGGAACUAAGCAGAGCUGCUUCCGCAGCGACUGAAGUUCCGGGUGUACCGCGGUGCAGGGAUGUUGUCAAGAUCCAGUGGUAAAUUAGGGAAAGUAGUUAAACAUGCUCUUAGCUUUAACCUCAGCACAAUAAAUAAAAUCAAGGAUUACGGAUCUGAAAUCUUUCUAAAUUAAAUAUCGCUUGAAUUAUAGUUUAAUCUAAUGCAGAGCAAAAGGAGUAGAGGAGCAUUGUUGUCACUGCUAGUGACACCUCUCCAGGGUCUUGAGAUGACAACAGUGGAUCAGCGUGUUUCAUGUCUGUAGAGGACAGUGGGGAUAAGGACUAGGUUGUGCGCAUGGAUCUUGGUGUCUUUCUGCUUGGUUUCACGAUCAACAAAACAUGCUUAAGCAAUUUUCCAAAGGAGGCACGUGCGCUGAACCCUGUGCUGGAUCUCCUCAUCGGUGUUCACUCUCUGAGAGAGGUGGCUAUGGAGCUGUAUUCGAAAUCAAAAGAACAACAGGAUUUGACGCUGUGAUCCCCAAAUGGAUGAAGGCACCUCCCUGUAGCCCUGAAUCAGGCAUCUAAGCUCCAGUGAGAGGUAGUUUAUCUAGACUCUUUGACCUAGAAUGAUGUCUGAGACGCUCAUGAGAAGAAGUUUUUGCAGAUCAGGAGAAGCUUUUUAUUUUCCAGGAGCUUUGGACAAGUCAGAGGGACUUCUGGGCAUCAUCCUCAUAAUGAUGGAUUAUGGAUCUCAUGUGGGCAUUGCAAGCCUACAGUUGUGUUUAUGUCCUUGAAUACAACAACGCCCCUGCUUCACAAAAAACAUUCAUACAGUUACACAGGGCUGUGUCACUCACAUUAAUGUUAAUGAAAUUUACUGCCCCAUCAUCCAACAGAGAUGGGCAUACUGCAGCAUUUAGCAUUUGUGUCCAAUCUCAUCGCUUAGGUUCAUUGUUCAAAAUGCAGUUACAGCUUCCACUGGUACUAAAUAUUUCACUGAAUUUUUUAAACCUGAAAAAGAUAAGGAAUUGUCUUUAUAUGUAGCCAGAUUUGGAUAGAAUUAUAUGCGUGUGUGUGUCGCUUAGCAUAAAGAUAAAAUAAUAGGUGUGAUAAUGCUAAUUAAAAGUCCAUGAGUAAGUUAACUACUUAUAAGACCUUAACUAAUGGUUUGUACUAAUGUAAACCACUGUGUUGCCCUAAGAAUUUUGAAGGCUAAAAAAAUAAAGCAUUAUGAAAGACUUGGUAUGGGUUGGGGCAUUCAGGGUCUUUAAUAAUAAAUAAUCUAGACGUUUGUGUUUGAAUACUGAAGGGAGCUUCAGCUAAUGCCACAGCUUGCUUGCCAAACUCACUGUGCACUUGUCAGCAAUCAAACUACCCUGGAUAACAUUUAACAAAUGUCCAUGCUGUCCUGAUUCAAAACAAAGGCGACAUUCAUUUGGGGCUGGCAUGGUUACCUGCUAAACAACGUGGACAAUGUUAUUUCUCCAAAAUUGUUAUUUCUUCACUAUAAUCAUAGGACAGUUACCAUGCAACCUGUGGUGAUAAUAUCAUAUCUAGUCUCAAAAUAUGCGUUGAAAGAAUGCAGCAACUUGUAAGGAGCAUCUCAACUAAUAUUUAUAAUCUCUUAGGUCAGGACAUUAGAUAUAGGUCAUGUUUUCCUUGUCCUUUGUUUUGUUGUUUCCUUCAUGUAAGGAACAUCAUAUAACCACAUCAGUAAGAAGAUUAGAGCUGAGACUGAUUCACCUUCCUUCACUCACUCUGCUGUGUCUGGGAACUGCAGAAUUCAACGACAUGUCUGGGACCUUAUGAGCUACGGUGCUUAGGCAAAACAAGAUGGACUGAGGAUAGGCUAUCAGCCUUUGUAGAUAUCGCUUCCCUAAGUUCUGUCAGUGUCACAAAUUGUUCAUUCUUACAUACAAAAUAACUAUCUCCCUUCUGUAUAAAAUACUACAGUAUUUUACUAUAGUCACCUCAAACACUUCAGUAUCUGAAUAAAGAAAUAUCAGAAGGUAUAAUUUUUGGACCAUUGCCCUAAACCACCCUACUACUUUCAUAUAUGUGAUUAAGUGUAAUUUUUACUUUGAUAAAACAGCUACAAUUUUAAGAGCAAAAGUAAGGCAGGAU